GACGAACGCUGGCGGCGUGCUUAACACAUGCAAGUCGAACGGUGAAGCGCCUUCCUUUUUGGUGGGUGUGGAUGAGUGGCGAACGGGUGAGUAACACGUGAGUAACCUGCCCCCUUCUUCUGGAUAACCGCAUGAAAGUGUGGCUAAUACGGGAUAUUCUGGGUCUGUCGCAUGAUGGGUCUGGGAAAGAUAUUGUUUCGGUGGGGGAUGGGCUCGCGGCCUAUCAGCUUGUUGGUGGGGUGAUGGCCUACCAAGGCGGUGACGGGUGGCCGGCCUGAGAGGGUAGACGGUCACACUGGGAAUGAGACACGGCCCAGACUCCUACGGGAGGCAGCAGUGGGGAAUAUUGCACAAUGGGCGCAAGCCUGAUGCAGCGACGCCGCGUGAGGAAUGGAGGCCUUCGGGUUGUGAACCUCUUUCGCCAGUGAAGCAGGCCUGCCUCGUUUGUGGGUGGGUUGACGGUAGCUGGAUAAGAAGCGCCGGCUAACUACGUG
Molecule: ribosomal RNA, 494 nt
Filed under: uncultured bacterium
Lineage: Bacteria
Description: partial 16S ribosomal RNA
Rfam family: Bacterial small subunit ribosomal RNA
Source: RNAcentral